GAUGAACGCUGGCGGCGUGCCUAAUACAUGCAAGUCGAGCGAACGGACGAGAAGCUUGCUUCUCUGAUGUUAGCGGCGGACGGGAGUGUAACACGUGGAUACCCUACCUAUCAUACUGGGAUAACUUCGGGACACCGGCGCUAAUACCGGAUAAUCUUUUGAACCGUAUGGUUCAAAAGUGAAAGUCGGUCUUGCUGUCACUUAUCGAUGGAUACGCGCUGCAUUAGCUAGUUGGUAAGUUAACGGCCUACGAAGGCAACGAUGCAUAGCCGACGUGAGAGAGGGGUCGGCCACACGAGAGCUUAGACGCGGACCAGACGCCUGCGAGAGGGAGCAGUAUGGUAUGGUCCGCAAUGGUCGAAAGCCUUACGGAGUGAGGCCGCGUGAGUGAUGGAGGUCUUCGGUGCGGGAAACUCUGUUACGAGUUGAGAACAUAUGUGGAAGGAAAUGUGCACAGAGUGACGGUAACGAGUCAGAAAGCCACGGCUAACUACGUG
This 497-nucleotide ribosomal RNA is filed under the name uncultured bacterium. RNAcentral's name for it is "partial 16S ribosomal RNA". It matches the Rfam family "Bacterial small subunit ribosomal RNA", at positions 28 to 507 of the family's 1533-position model. The record is from RNAcentral.